Molecule: ribosomal RNA, 253 nt
Filed under: uncultured bacterium
Lineage: Bacteria
Description: partial 16S ribosomal RNA
Rfam family: Bacterial small subunit ribosomal RNA
Source: RNAcentral
UACGUAGGGGGCUAGCGUUGUCCGGAAUCAUUGGGCGUAAAGCGCGCGUAGGCGGCCAGAUAAGUCCGGUGUGAAAGUCAAAGGCUCAACCUUUGAAUGCCGCUGGAAACUGUCUGGCUUGAGUCCGGAAGGGGCGAGUGGAAUUCCUGGUGUAGCGGUGAAAUGCGCAGAUAUCUGGAGGAACACCGGUGGCGAAGGCGGCGUUCUGGACUGCAACUGACACUGAAAAACGAAAGCCAGGGGAGCAAACGGG